This 429-nucleotide ribosomal RNA is filed under the name Chloroflexota bacterium. Its description in RNAcentral is "Chloroflexi bacterium partial 16S ribosomal RNA". It matches the Rfam family "Bacterial small subunit ribosomal RNA", at positions 355 to 776 of the family's 1533-position model. Lineage: Bacteria; Bacillati; Chloroflexota. The record is from RNAcentral.
UGGGGAAUAUUGCACAAUGGGCGCAAGCCUGAUGCAGCCAUGCCGCGUGUAUGAAGAAGGCCUUCGGGUUGUAAAGUACUUUCAGCGGGGAGGAAGGGAGUAAAGCUAAUACCUUUGCUUAUUUACGUUACCCGCAGAAGAAGCACCGGCUAAUUCCGUGCCAGCAGCCGCGGUAAUACGGAGGGUGAAAGCGUUAAGCGGAAUGACUUGGCGUAAAGCGCACGCAGGCGGUUUGUUAAGUCAGAUGUGAAAUCCCCAGGCUCAACCUGGGAACUGCAUCUGAUACUAACAAGCUUGAGUCUCGUAGAGGGUGGUAGAAUUCCAGGUGUAGCGGUGGAAUGCGUAGAGAUCUAGAAGAAUACCGGUGGCGAAGGCGGCCCCCUGGACAAGGACUGACGCUCAGGUACGAAAGCGUGGGGAGCAAACAGG